This 253-nucleotide ribosomal RNA is filed under the name uncultured bacterium. RNAcentral's name for it is "partial 16S ribosomal RNA". It matches the Rfam family "Bacterial small subunit ribosomal RNA", at positions 524 to 776 of the family's 1533-position model. The record is from RNAcentral.
UACGUAGGGGGCAAGCGUUGUCCGGAAUCAUUGGGCGUAAAGGGUGCGUAGGCGGCGCGGUAAGUCGGGUGUGAAAUCUCGGAGCUUAACUCCGAAACUGCAUUCGAUACUGCCGUGCUUGAGGACUGGAGAGGAGACUGGAAUUUACGGUGUAGCGGUGAAAUGCGUAGAUAUCGUAAGGAAGACCAGUGGCGAAGGCGGGUCUCUGGACAGUUCCUGACGCUGAGGCGCGAAGGCCAGGGGAGCAAACGGG